AAUCCCACUGUACUAGUGUUCUAUAGUAGACAUUAACAUCUUGGAAUGAACUAAAAUGUAUCUUUUUCUUGGGACUACUUAGGAAAUUUGGUAUUCUUUCUGAGACGAGACCUACUAGCUGGGCAUCUACUUCCGCCCGGAUUGGUUUUUUUAAAAAAUAUCUUCGAUCCCGAGUGCGCCUCCUUGUGGUUAGGAGGUGGCAAAACAGAGGGUUGAGGGUUUUUUUGGUUUGGGCUUUGUUUUUUUUGUUUUUUGUUUUUUUUUGAGACGAGGUUUCUCUGUGUAGCCUUAGCUGUUUUGUACUCGCUUGUAAACUCGCUCGUACUCACGGAGCUCCGCCUGCCUCUGCCUCCCGGAGUGCUGGGAUUGCAGGCGUGCGCCAUUGCACGCCAUUUAAAAGACAGGGUUUCUGUGUGUAGUCCUACAAAACUCAUUCCGUAGACCAGGCUGGCGUCAAACUCUGGGAUAUGCCUGUCUUUGCCUCCCAGAAUUAAAGGCUACGUGAAGUCCAGUGGCGUGUGGAAAAUGGAAGGUGGAGCUAAUGGCAGCUUACAGACCACGUUUUACAAAGGGGAAGUUAAAUUCCUGGAAAAGGAAAAGACACAGGGAAGGUUGCCUUUGCAGCGAGACCAGGCCCAGGGCUCCUUCUCGGCAGAGAACUUGAGCCUCGACCACAUUCUGCAGUGUGGACAGCAUUAUACACCUGGUGAGGACGGCGAGGACCCAGAGGUCUAGAGACCAAGGUCCCACAAUGAUGAGAGACUGUGCAGGCCUCAGGAACUGCUUCUUAAACCCACGCUUAGACAUGUGCUGUCCUGGCUCAGGAGCAGUCAUUCUCAACCUUCCCAAUGCUGUGACCCUUUAAUACAGUUCUUCAUGUUGUGGGGACCCCAACCAUAAAAUUCCAUUGCUACUGCGUAACUGUAAUUUUGCUACUGUUAUGAAUUGUGAUGUGAACAGUUGUAUUUUCCAAUGGGCUUAGGCAACCCCUGUGAAAGUCAUUUGACACCCGCCCCCAAAAGGGUCACAGGUUGAGCAACUGUUGCUUUAGAGGGCUUGCUUCUCCCCACCUCCCCCCCCCCCCCGACUUCAGCCAGUCUUUUUGGUGCUGGGGAUAGAACCCAGGACCUCACAAUGCUCUAGGUUAGUGCCCAGCUGCUAAGCUACACCCCGGCCCCAUCUGAAAGUAUUCGGAUAUCAUGUCUGGAAUCUAGCAUCUGUAGCCAGCCUCACUUCAGCUUCAGAUGUGAGACUAUGUCAGUGUCCUCUCCUAUAAGUGGUAUGUCUGGAGCAGCUCGGGCUUUUGGUGACAAUGUAGAUGAGUUCACUCAUGGGGGCCCCCAGAGCAAUUGUGCCUGGCACUCCCUGAGCACUCUUCUGCUGCCCUUUAGGCCUUGGUCAUAGAGCCCCACCACAGUGCUAGGAUCUUGUCCAGUGUGCACAGGCCCCAGAGCUGGGGGGAGGAGAGGCCAGCCCUCCCAUCCUCACCCUCUACCCUCCCUGCAGACACACAGAACCACA
Molecule: long non-coding RNA, 1521 nt
Organism: Meriones unguiculatus (Mongolian gerbil)
Lineage: Eukaryota; Metazoa; Chordata; Mammalia; Rodentia; Muridae
Exons: 4
Source: RefSeq, a predicted model, not a curated record